CCCUCGGUCGUCUAGUUGGUUUAUGGCGUCCGGCUGUAAUUUGAGAGAUAACCGGAAUGUCGCGCGUUCGACUCGCGCCUGAGGGA
RNAcentral lists this transfer RNA (86 nucleotides) under Blumeria hordei DH14. RNAcentral's name for it is "tRNA-Tyr for anticodon GUA". It matches the Rfam family "tRNA". Rfam says of the family: Transfer RNA (tRNA) molecules are approximately 80 nucleotides in length. The record is from Rfam by way of RNAcentral. Lineage: Eukaryota; Fungi; Ascomycota; Leotiomycetes; Helotiales; Erysiphaceae.